CCUACGGGAGGCAGCAGUAGGGAAUCUUCCACAAUGGGCGAAAGCCUGAUGGAGCAACGCCGCGUGAGUGAAGAAGGAUUUCGGCUCGUAAAACUCUGUUGUAAGGGAAGAACAAGUAGCGUAGUAACUGGCGCUACCUUGACGGUACCUUAUUAGAAAGCCACGGCUAACUACGUGCCAGCAGCCGCGGUAAU
Molecule: ribosomal RNA, 194 nt
Filed under: uncultured bacterium
Lineage: Bacteria
Description: partial 16S ribosomal RNA
Rfam family: Bacterial small subunit ribosomal RNA
Source: RNAcentral